This 195-nucleotide long non-coding RNA is filed under the name Cricetulus griseus (Chinese hamster). RNAcentral's name for it is "lncRNA (ENSCGRG00000024521.1)". Lineage: Eukaryota; Metazoa; Chordata; Mammalia; Rodentia; Cricetidae. The record is from RNAcentral.
UUUAUAGGUCUUAUGACUGUAUCUGAUAUUCAAACAGGUCUCACUGAGUAUAUAAAAGGAAAAUUCCUUUUAUGGGUCGAUUUAGCGAACCUAAGUAAGGCUGCAUGGAUUUUCUUUUUAAUUUUCCCCUGCUUCCAUUUCAGAGGUCCUGUUGCUACCUGCCCAGUCCUUUUUCUUAAGCUCUUACUCCUCUGA